This 56-nucleotide transfer RNA is filed under the name Chabertia erschowi. RNAcentral's name for it is "tRNA-Val". The record is from RNAcentral. Lineage: Eukaryota; Metazoa; Nematoda; Chromadorea; Rhabditida; Strongylidae.
GGACUUUUAGUUUAAUUUAGAAUUUUUCAUUUACAAUGAAAGGGUUAAAAAGUUUU